GCGUUGUCCGGAAUUAUUGGGCGUAAAGAGCUUGUAGGCGGUUUGUCGCGCCUGCUGUGAAAAUCCGGGGCUCAACCCCGGACUUGCAGUGGGUACGGGCAGACUAGAGUGUGGUAGGGGAGACUGGAAUUCCUGGUGUAGCGGUGAAAUGCGCAGAUAUCAGGAAGAACACCGAUGGCGAAGGCAGGUCUCUGGGCCACAACUGACGCUGAGAAGCGAUAGCAUG
Molecule: ribosomal RNA, 226 nt
Filed under: uncultured bacterium
Lineage: Bacteria
Description: partial 16S ribosomal RNA
Rfam family: Bacterial small subunit ribosomal RNA
Source: RNAcentral